GUGCUCAAACCAAGGUAAGGAAAGCCGCCACAGCAGAGACUCUCAGAGAGAGUAAAGAAAAAAGUGAGAGAAGGAGGAAAGAGAGGAAACUUGAGGAAGUCUUCGGCUGUGGUUGAUUCGGCAAGAAAAUAUAACUUGUCUUUUUUAUUUUUAUUUUUCUUGCCGAUUCCACCCAUGCCUACUAUUUCCUUUACUUUCUCUUUCUCCUCACCGUGUCUCUCUACGCCUUUUUCGCCAGAUCUGACUGUUUUGAAGGAGGAAAAGGAGAGACCGUUUCUGGAAAUUUUUGGAAUGGAGGAGUUGGAAAGAUUUUGAAUUUUCUCUGUAUUUUAAUAAUGAAAAAUCUUUCCAAUUCCUCCCAUUCCAAUGAUUUCCAGCACUUCCUCUCCAUUUUCUUACCUUUCUUCAAUCCUUUUUGUUUCAUCAUUUCCUGCAGUUUGUAAGUGAAAUCGGUAAACCUUACCUAAUUUUCAUACUCUUCUGUUUUGUUUUUAUAUAGAUCUGUUCUUUACUGUCUUCCAUGGAUCUUCUGAGAUUUGCUUCUUGCUGUAUACUUCCAGAUCCUUGGUUUUAUUUUUUAGUUAAAAAUUAGGUAAAAGGGAACUUAAUCUUGAAAUUGUAAGUGGAAAAUUCUGGAUCUGUCGUUGAGUUGGUGAAGAUCAAAUUAAGUCGUGAUAUAUUGAUUUAAUUGAAAGGUAGGUCGAUUUUAUUUCUUUUUUACCCUGUUUUUGAAAAAGUUAAAAAUGAUGGAGCGGUGAAAAUGAGAUGGAAUAAGGUAGAGAUCUAUGUUGUUUCAGUUGGGAUAGCUUUUUAUAAUCCAAUUAUCAAUAAAUCUAUUGAUAAAUCAGAGGUGAGACUUUGAGCCUAGAUCUCGAAGUUCAGUUCCUUCUGUCUCCUUGCUUCACCACCGUAAAUUGUAAAUUAAAAAAUAAAAGUACUUUAUAGUUGUAGAUUUAUUAUAUUAAUUUUGUUCGUCAAAAUAAUUUUAGUGAGAUAGUUGUCAUAUGCAGGCAGAUUUUUGAAGGAAAAAAAAAAGUAUGAUUCCAGUUAAAAUAAAUUGAAUGUUGAGAAAUAUGAAUUUGGUAAAAAUAUUAAAUCAAAUAAGGAGUUUCCUUUUUCCCGUAUCCAAACACAUUUCUUUGGAUCAGAAGAAACAGUUGGGCAUUUAUUAAUGGAGCUGUAAAAGUGAAUUCGAAUAAAUCCUGAUAAUAUCAAAGCUGCUGAAGAUGGAAACAUGUGUGUACUAUAUUACUUUAGUUCAUUGUACUAAACACGAUUUGGUAUGUAUUCAAAUGUGUUCUCUCUCUUUUUUUUUUUUAUCUUUCUUGAUGCAACUGUAUAUUAUAUGUUUUGAAUGAUUACUAUUAUCAUUAAUAUAGCACGAUUGCAACCUGGAGGACUUUCUUAUUACCAUUUCGAUGUUAAAUAAAAAUGCAAAAAAAUUUGUUCAAGUGUUAAAAUAGAGAUAUUGAAG
RNAcentral lists this long non-coding RNA (1474 nucleotides) under Gossypium barbadense (sea-island cotton). RNAcentral's name for it is "long non-coding RNA (GBAR_LNC004353)". The record is from RNAcentral. Lineage: Eukaryota; Viridiplantae; Streptophyta; Magnoliopsida; Malvales; Malvaceae.